UACAGAGGGGGCAAGCGUUGUUCGGAAUUACUGGGCGUAAAGGGCUCGUAGGCGGCUGUCUAAGUCGGACGUGAAAUCCCAUGGCUUAACCAUGGAACUGCGUCCGGUACUGGACAGCUUGAAUCCAAGAGAGGGAUGCGGAAUUCCAGGUGUAGCGGUGAAAUGCGUAGAUAUCUGGAGGAACACCGGUGGCGAAGGCGGCAUCCUGGAUUGGUAUUGACGCUGAGGAGCGAAAGCCAGGGGAGCAAACGGG
Molecule: ribosomal RNA, 253 nt
Filed under: uncultured Acidobacteriota bacterium
Lineage: Bacteria; Pseudomonadati; Acidobacteriota
Description: uncultured Acidobacteria bacterium partial 16S ribosomal RNA
Rfam family: Bacterial small subunit ribosomal RNA
Source: RNAcentral